GACUUUGAAAGAACUGGACCUGGCAGUCCAGAUGAGAUUGUACAAACAUCAAGAGGAAGUGAGAACAAAGAAAAUGACGGUGAAGAUGUUCCAAGGCGUUACAACCUUCGACGGAGGAAACCUGUUGACCGCUACCAAGCUCCUAUGGAAAGUAGUAAGACAAAGAGAUCGAGAGAGGACUAACUCGGGCCAGCCCUGUUCUGUCAGACAGAAAGAGUCACUUGAAAAUGCUGGGUCACAAAAAUAUAGAAGACGUGCCAGGUUGGUGUAUGGCUAGUGAUAGCUCUUACUUAUCCGUAGAGCUGUCAGUCUCCUUACUGCAUAAUGCUUCAAAGGGUUUUCAGUUUAGUGGUAAUUACAGAGUAAGUUUAUGAUCGGUACUUUGGUAGUCUGAGGAUAGAGAGGAAAGAAAUAUUUGGAGGGCAGGAGGUGGAUACUUUUAAGUUGGUUUCUUUUUUAAAUCCAAUAUUUGUGGGUCGCUGAUAAGAUGAUUAUGGAGGUAGUGUCUGAGUUUCUGUAACUGAAA
RNAcentral lists this long non-coding RNA (526 nucleotides) under Anas platyrhynchos platyrhynchos (common mallard). RNAcentral's name for it is "lncRNA (ENSAPLG00000029600.1)". Lineage: Eukaryota; Metazoa; Chordata; Aves; Anseriformes; Anatidae. The record is from RNAcentral.